RNAcentral lists this ribosomal RNA (1491 nucleotides) under uncultured bacterium. Its description in RNAcentral is "partial 16S ribosomal RNA". It matches the Rfam family "Bacterial small subunit ribosomal RNA". The record is from RNAcentral.
ACUUNGCGGGCAUGCCUUACACAUGCAAGUCGAACGGCAUCACGGACUCUCGGUCUGGUGGCGAGUGGCGAACGGGUGAGUAAAGUAUCGGAACAUACCUUGUAGUGGGGGAUAACUAUCCGAAAGGAUAGCUAAUACCGCAUACGCUCUGAGGAGGAAAGCGGGGGAUCUUCGGACCUCGUGCUAUAAGAGUGGCCGAUAUCUGAUUAGCUAGUUGGUGAGGUAAAGGCUCACCAAGGCGACGAUCAGUAGCUGGUCUGAGAGGACGGCCAGCCACACUGGAACUGAGACACGGUCCAGACUCCUACGGGAGGCAGCAGUGGGGAAUUUUGGACAAUGGGGGCAACCCUGAUCCAGCUAUAUUUCUCGCGUGAGUGAAGAAGGCCNUCGGGUUGUAAAGCUCUUUUGUNAGGGAAGAUAANGNCGGGGCUNAUAUNCUUCGCUGCUGANNGCUNCCUGNNCAAUAACCACCGGCCAACUACGUGCCAUUCACCCGCGGNAAUACUCUAGUGGUGCANGCGUUAAUCGUNAAUUACUGGUUNAUAAAGCGUGCUGCANAGCGGUUUCNCUAAGUCUGAUGUGAAAUCCCCGGGCUCAACCUGGUAAUUGCAUUGGAGACUGCGAGGCUAGAAUCUGGCAGAGGGGGGUANAAUUCCACGUGUAGCANUGNAAUGCGUAAAGAUGUGCUAGGANCACCGAUGGNGAAGGCAGCCCCCUGGGUCAAGAUUGACGCUCAUGCACUAAAAGCGUGGGGAGCNAACAGNCAUUAGAUACCCUGGUAAUCCACNCCCUAANCUUNUGUCUACUANUUGUCGGGUUUUAAUUAACUUGNUAACNCACCUAANNCNUGAANUACACCNCCUGGNNAGUACGGUCUCANGAUUAAAACUCACAAGGAAUUGACGGGGGCCCGCACANUGCUACCGGUGGAUGAUGUGGAUUAAUUCGAUGCAACUCGAAAAACCUUACCUACCCUUGACAUGGCAGGAAUUCCGAAGAGAUUUGGAAGUGCUCGCAAGAGAACCUGCACACAGGUGCUGCAUGGCUGUCGUCAGCUCGUGUCGUGAGAUGUUGGGUUAAGUCCCGCAACGAGCGCAACCCUUGUCAUUAGUUGCUACGAAAGGGCACUCUAAUGAGACUGCCGGUGACAAACCGGAGGAAGGUGGGGAUGACGUCAAGUCCUCAUGGCCCUUAUGGGUAGGGCUUCACACGUCAUACAAUGGUACAUACAGAGGGCCGCCAACCCGCGAGGGGGAGCUAAUCCCAGAAAGUGUAUUUUAGUCCGGAUUGUAGUCUGCAACUCGACUACAUGAAGUUGGAAUCGCUAGUAAUCGCGGAUCAGCAUGUCGCGGUGAAUACGUUCCCGGGUCUUGUACACACCGCCCGUCACACCAUGGGAGCGGGUUCUGCCAGAAGUAGGUAGCUUAACCGUAAGGAGGGCGCUUACCACGGCAGGGUUCGUGACUGGGGUGAAGUCGUAACAAGGUANCC